Molecule: ribosomal RNA, 253 nt
Filed under: uncultured bacterium
Lineage: Bacteria
Description: partial 16S ribosomal RNA
Rfam family: Bacterial small subunit ribosomal RNA
Source: RNAcentral
UACGUAGGGGGCAAGCGUUAUCCGGAUUUACUGGGUGUAAAGGGAGCGUAGACGGCAGGGCAAGUCUGGAGUGAAAGGCAGGGGCCCAACCCCUGGACUGCUCUGGAAACUGUCCGGCUGGAGUGCAGGAGAGGUAAGUGGAAUUCCUAGUGUAGUGGUGAAAUGCGUAGAUAUUAGGAGGAACACCAGUGGCGAAGGCGGCUUACUGGACUGUAACUGACGUUGAGGCUCGAAAGCGUGGGGAGCAAACAGG